This 320-nucleotide ribosomal RNA is filed under the name uncultured eukaryote. RNAcentral's name for it is "partial 18S ribosomal RNA". It matches the Rfam family "Eukaryotic small subunit ribosomal RNA", at positions 1470 to 1796 of the family's 1831-position model. The record is from RNAcentral.
CCCCUAGAUGUUCUGGGCCGCACGCGCGCUACACUGAACAGUUCAACAAGUCUUAACCUUGGCCGAUAGGUCUGGGUAAUCUUUGAACGCUGUUCGUGAUUGGGAUAGACCUUUGCAAUUAUGGGUCUUCAACGAGGAAUUCCUAGUAAACGCAAGUCAUCAGCUUGCAUUGAUUACGUCCCUGCCCUUUGUACACACCGCCCGUCGCACCUAUCGAUUGAAUGGUCCGGUGAAAUCUCGGGACGGCGGCUUGGUCGCUUGCGUCCGACUGCUGAAACUUGAUUAAACCAUAUCAUUUAGAGGAAGGUGAAGUCGUANCA